RNAcentral lists this ribosomal RNA (497 nucleotides) under uncultured bacterium. RNAcentral describes it as "partial 16S ribosomal RNA". It matches the Rfam family "Bacterial small subunit ribosomal RNA", at positions 28 to 507 of the family's 1533-position model. The record is from RNAcentral.
GAUGAACGCUGGCGGCGUGCCUAAUACAUGCAAGUAGAACGCUGAAGCUUGGUGCUUGCCCCGAGCGGAUGAGUUGCGAACGGGUGAGUAACGCGUAGGUAACCUGCCUCUUAGCGGGGGAUAACUAUUGGAAACGAUAGCUAAUACCGCAUAAAAGUCGAUAUCGCAUGAUAUUGAUUUGAAAGGUGCAAAUGCAUCACUAAGAGGUGGACCUGCGUUGUAUUAGCUAGUUGGUGAGGUAACGGCUCACCAAGGCGACGAUACAUAGCCGACCUGAGAGGGUGAUCGGCCACACUGGGACUGAGACACGGCCCAGACUCCUACGGGAGGCAGCAGUAGGGAAUCUUCGGCAAUGGGGGCAACCCUGACCGAGCAACGCCGCGUGAGUGAAGAAGGUUUUCGGAUCGUAAAGCUCUGUUGUAAGAGAAGAACGAGUGUGAGAGUGGAAAGUUCACACUGUGACGGUAACUUACCAGAAAGGGACGGCUAACUACGUG